Molecule: ribosomal RNA, 460 nt
Filed under: uncultured bacterium
Lineage: Bacteria
Description: partial 16S ribosomal RNA
Rfam family: Bacterial small subunit ribosomal RNA
Source: RNAcentral
CCUACGGGUGGCAGCAGUGAGGAAUAUUGGUCAAUGGGCGCGAGCCUGAACCAGCCAAGUCGCGUGAGGGAUGACGGUCCUACGGAUUGUAAACCUCUUUUGCCGGGGAGCAAGCGUGCGUUCGUGAACGCGCGUCGAGAGUACCCGGAGAAAAAGCAUCGGCUAACUCCGUGCCAGCAGCCGCGGUAAUACGGAGGAUGCGCGCGUUAUCCGAAUGUAUUGGGGUUAAAGGGUGCGUAGGGGGGGUGCCAAGUCAGCGGGAAAAAUGCGGGGGUCAACGCCGUCGGGCCGUUGAAACUGGGGGUCUUGAGUGGGGGAGGAGUAUGCGGAAUUGGUGGGGUAGCGGUGAAAUGGCUAGAUAUCACGGAGAACUCCGGUUGCGAAGGCAGCAUACCGGCGCCCUACUGACGCUGAGGCACGAAAGCGUGGGUAUCGAACAGGAUUAGAUACCCCUGUAGUC